AUGGAAGGAAGUGGGCCGCCGUUCCGAGCGAUCCGGCGGAGCAAAGAUCAGGGAGGCCUUCUUACAUGUGCUAGUCAACCGGCGAGGCUCGCCCCCAUCCUUACCCUACUGUCGUUGCUGCUCAUUUCUUGUGGAGUCGGCAGCAUCCGCUGCUCCUCCUCAACGACGACAAUUCAUGAUAACAGCACGGACAUGAUGUCGCUGCUGGAUUUCAAGCGGGCCAUCACCAACGACUCAAGUCAAGCCUUGAGAUCUUGGCACGUCGGCGUCCCCCUUUGCGGAUGGAAGGGCGUCGUCUGCAGCGGCCCGAAGCAUCCUGGGGGAGUCAUGGGGCUGAACCUUAGGAACCUAUCAUUGUCAGGCACGAUUUCACCGUCGCUUGGGAAUCUAACAUUCCUUAGGAGACUGGACCUGUUCAGUAAUGGCUUCACCGGCGAGAUACCUCCUCUCAGCCGUCUCCAAAGAUUGGAGUACCUUGACUUGGGGUACAACUCACUGCGAGGGAUCAUUCCGGAUAACCUCACAAACUGCUCCAAUCUACGGGACUUAUCCCUGUCCCGCAACUUACUAAUAGGAGAAGUUCCCAGCGGUAUAGGCCGCCUAUCCAAUCUAGUGUCGUUACAGCUUGGAGGAAAUAAUCUCACUGGAGAAAUCCCACCAAGCCUAAAAAACAGCAGUCAACUUGAAAACAUCUGGCUUGCUGAUAAUAAGCUUGCCGGAACCAUUCCUGAUGAGUUGGGAAAACUACCAAAUCUUUCUGAUUUAGACCUUGAUGCAAAUCAGCUAUCAGGUGGAAUCCCAGAAACCCUGUACAAAUACAAUCGGUCUUCUCUCCAAUAUUUAACCUUAGGUUCCAAUAUGCUUGGGAAAACACUGCCAUCUAACUUUGGUGAUACCCCCCUGAAUCUUGAAGCCCUCGAAUUGGAGGAUAACAAUUUUGAAGGCCAUCUCCCAGCGUCACUAGGCAAUAUUUCAGGGCUAUUUUUGUUGGACAUGUCGUUCAACAAUUUCGUUGGUCAAGUUCCAAGUUCUUUUGGUAACUUUGGAACGUUGGAUUACCUAAACCUUCGGCAAAACAAUUUGUCGGGUUUCAUCCCAAUAGAGCUCGGCGGCUUAAAGCUGCUCAACCAUCUGGAUAUGUCUGAUAAUAGUCUGCAAAGUGGAGUGCCAUAA
RNAcentral lists this ribosomal RNA (1173 nucleotides) under Triticum aestivum (bread wheat). RNAcentral's name for it is "partial small subunit ribosomal RNA". The record is from RNAcentral. Lineage: Eukaryota; Viridiplantae; Streptophyta; Magnoliopsida; Poales; Poaceae.